GACGAACGCUGGCGGCGUGCUUAACACAUGCAAGUGGAGCGACGAACCAGGCUUCGGCCUGGGGCAAAGCCGCGAACGGGUGAGUAACACGUGGGUAACCUGCCCCGAUGAUCGGGACAACCCGGGGAAACCCGGGCUAAUACCGGAUGUGCCCGCACCACACCAGUGGUGCGUGUAAAGGUAGCUUCGGCCUCCGCAUCGGGAUGGGCCCGCGGCCCAUUAGCUUGUUGGUGAGGUAACGGCUCACCAAGGCUGCGAUGGGUAGCUGGUCUGAGAGGACGAUCAGCCACACUGGGACUGAGACACGGCCCAGACUCCUACGGGAGGCAGCAGUGGGGAAUCUUGCGCAAUGCGCGAAAGCGUGACGCAGCAACGCCGCGUGGGGGAAGAAGGCCUUCGGGUUGUAAACCCCUUUCAGUUGGGACGAAGCUCGGGCGGUGAAUAGCCGUUCCGAGUGACGGUACCUUCACAAGAAGCUCCGGCUAACUACGUGCCAGCAGCCGC
Molecule: ribosomal RNA, 504 nt
Filed under: uncultured bacterium
Lineage: Bacteria
Description: bacterial SSU rRNA
Rfam family: Bacterial small subunit ribosomal RNA
Source: RNAcentral